GGUGGUUCUCGAGUGACGCAUCCAGAAUCGGCCUCCCUCCUCUCUGGUUCUGGGUGCGUUACCUGAGAACCGCA
Molecule: non-coding RNA, 74 nt
Organism: Myotis lucifugus (little brown bat)
Lineage: Eukaryota; Metazoa; Chordata; Mammalia; Chiroptera; Vespertilionidae
Source: Rfam